UCUCCGUAGGUGAACCUGCGGAGGGAUCAUUACCGAGCUCAUGCCCUUACGGGUAGAUCUCCCACCCUGUGUUAUUACUACCUUUGUUGCUUUGGCGGGCCGCCAGGCUCCGGUCAGGCUAUCGGCUUCGGCUGGUAAGCGCCCGCCAGAGGACCCUAUAUCCUGAUUAUUAGUGUCGUCUGAGUACUAUAUAAUAGUUAAAACUUUCAACAACGGAUCUCUUGGUUCUG
Molecule: unclassified non-coding RNA, 230 nt
Filed under: plant metagenome
Description: partial contains small subunit ribosomal RNA, internal transcribed spacer 1, and 5.8S ribosomal RNA
Source: RNAcentral